Taeniopygia guttata (zebra finch) is the source of this 4622-nucleotide non-coding RNA. Lineage: Eukaryota; Metazoa; Chordata; Aves; Passeriformes; Estrildidae. The record is from RefSeq and is a predicted model, not a curated record.
CUCUAAUUUCCAGGCUCCCCCCCACCCCAACCCCCCACCUCCCCGUCCCUCCGGGCUGGCAUUUUAAAAUCAAUUAGUAUUUUCAAUUCUUGAGGUGAAUUAUUCAAACAAAUGUUUGGGAGACCCUGAGGGAGAAUUUGGCCGUGACAAAAGGUUUGAUUAGCUUUAUUUCCCCCCAAAAGCAACAAAGGCGUAGGGCUGCGAGAACAAUCCGCUACAUCAGGGCAUGUUCAAUUAAAUGAAAGUCAUUAGCUUCGCCGUGAAAGCACUACCUUUAAAAUCAGAUGGGGCGGGCGGGAAGGGGGGAGUGGGUGUACUCUGAUAAUUGUGGCUGGAGGAUUUAACACUCCCCCUCCCCCUAUACACACAAAGCCCUCCAAAAAGAAGAAGAAGAGGGGGGGGACCCAAACCCAACACUUCACCCUUUGGAAAUUUGUGCUCAGUCUAAACAAUAGGAAGCCCAUAAUGCAGAUUAUAACACUCACUGACUCGAAUCCAUUAUCUGCCCUCCACACUGUCUAUAUAUUGAUUUCCAUAUACUUUCUAUUGCUCUCAAUGACUGAGCAAAGCUCCAGUUAAGAGCCCGCGACACACAGGAGCGCUGCUUGAACUACAUCUCACCAAUACAAGCCGGAGCCGGUUGUAAACACGAAAUGCUCCCACUUUCCCGGUGUAGCUGUGAACAAGCACACUACCACCCCUCCAUCCCCGCAAGGAAGCUGGCGGCCGGGCAGAGCCGGUGUGCUGCCCCGGGGCCCCCUCCCGCCGCGGGGAGCGUGCGGAUCCCCUCGGAGCCACGGCCAGGUGCGCACGCCCGCGUCCACGGGAGAAAUCCCGGGGCGCCCCGUCCCCAGAGCGCCGGGCCGCAUGCGGGGAAGGGUGUCUGGGUCCCCUCGGGGCACAGAGCCGGCAUCGCCGGGCGGGCAGAGCUGGGGAGCUCAGCUCCCCGCCCGUGGCCCUCCGCCAGCAGCCCCUCUCCCCGAGACCCGAGCUCUUAAUGAGGGAUGACGGUGGUUUCUCUAACUUUGAGACCCAACAGAGCAGAACUUUGCCAAGGCAGGAUCCUCCGGACGGUGCACUUAGACGGCGGCAAGAGAGCCUGCACACCCCCCGGGGACAGAGUUUGCCUCCUGAACUACACUUCUCUUAAUGAAGAACAGUAGCUCCGACCUCCAAACCAACUGGGACUGGCGCUUUAAAGUAGCUGCGAACAGUGCUCCCGUGUCUCAACAUGGUCACGUAGGAAUUUGAACCUUUUAAUUUCCAGACACAAGGAAUAACUCCCUCGGAGCACCGGCUUGGUUUAGGUGGUCGAUUGUUGGGUGUUUCGGUCGGAGUUUUUGAAUUUUUUUUGUUUCUAAUAAGGUAGCGAGGGAAGAUGGGGUACUAUUCCCUUGUAGACACAGAACAUAAAGGGGAAGAAAAAGCCUAGCCGGGGCAUAUUUGGCUGUAGGGAACCUGCCCGAGCCGCUCUGUAUCCCCGGCGGGAUAGCGGUCGGGGCUGCGGGCGCUGCCGCCGGCCCGGCCCAGCCCUCACCCCGGCCCUGCGCGGCAGCCAACGGGCACGUCGCCUGGUGUGACCUUCAGGGAGCACAUUUCAACUGCUAAACACCGAGAAAAGUGCUUCUCUCUCUCGCAGGCGCCAUAUUACCGCCGGGAGCCGGGGCUGGGGCGGGGGGAGGGCGGGUGCGCAGUUAGUCUAGUUUUCCGCAGUUGUUAAUUCAGACUGGACGAGCACUCGAUGGCUCCAUAAAAAGAAAAAAGAAAAAAGAAAAAAAAAAAAAAAAGAGGAGUACUUUGGGAUUAUUCUUUUCUUCUUAGCCCCCCCCCGCUAUCCCCCCUUUUCGAGGGGAUGCACUUUGUAACACUGAUGCCUGCUCUGGGACCCUGCGGAGCAUCCUUCCCCUCCCCGCCCGCUGGGAAAGGGGGUGCUUGGGGGGCGAUCCCCGAGAGCACGGUGUGUCACGGGGCCCCUGCUCAAGGCCACGACACUCGCCUUGCCCGAGGGCCCGGGCACCCCCGGGCAGCGCCCGAGAGCGCCCAGCUUCCCCCAUCCUGCUGCUUGCCGGGGAGGGACUGGGAAAACUCCCUAAACCUUGCUCCCUCCGCGGACACCCUGUUUGUGCUGGAAAGGCUAUGAGGCUCAAAAAUGAGAAAAUAUCCCCAGCACCACUUUCUCCCGGUGGAAAAUGAUUUCCUAAGCUGUGGGUCUGCACUUCACUGAGCUCUCUGCUCCCUCACUUCUCACAGAGACCUGCUCCUUAGUCAAGGGCGCUCUUUUGUCUUUCCCUCUGCGCUUGUUUUUUUUUUUUUAAUUGUGAAAAAAACUAACCAACCCCACCCAAAACUCGACGACAACAACUUCGGUAGCUAUGCAGAAGUGGAGGAAGCAGCACCGCAAUCGCGGCAGGGACACAGAGAAGCCGGACAGAGCCGCUCCUCCCCUGGGCCGCAGGGCCGGUGCCGUCCUAAAGAUUCAAGUCCUCUCAGGAUUUCGGAACAAAGGCAGCCCAGCCCAGCUCCGCCACGCACGAAUCUCCAUUGUAAUCCUGGGCUUAUCCUUUCCCCCCCCACUCCCCUUUCUUUAUGUGCCCUGUUUUCCAGCCUGCAGUUCCUGAAGGUCAGAUGGAGAGGUCAUAGCUCUGCAUCCCCUAUAAAUAGAUUUUGAUAUUUAGACAGCUAUUGCUACUCGAUAUUAACUUACAGGAUAAUGGCGAGAGAUACCGUAUGCGCUGAACCUGUUAUUCACGAGUGAGCAGCAUCUGUCGAAUACAAUUCUCGUCUUUUUGCCCUGUUUGGCUGUAGCACACAUCAAUAGGGCGAAGGACGUCUUGAGGCUGGGGUAGGGACGGGGAGCAGGACGGCUCUGCGGGGGCAAAGUUGCAAGAACAGUGUUGAAACUAUACGAGGACUUAGAGAGCUGAAGUCAAGAGCCAGGUCGGCACAGACCGGCUCUGAGCGAGCGCAGGACCAAUUCAAGAACUGCUGCGUAAAGAUUCCAGCGGGCUUUUGACACUUCACAUUAAAAUAUUAUGAAUGCUGCUGAGGUGGAAGGGUCUUUCCUCCACACACUCACAGCCCUAUUUCCCCGAUUUCUGACUUUUAAAAUCAUAGGUUCGAGGUGGAUCUGAACCAGAGGCUCAGAGCUCACCACUAACCCUUUCGCUGCUUACAGAGCAUUCAAGAGAAGGCAAGGUCUCCAAAUGUGGGCAAUACUUUGAAAGGAGCACUAAGAGUUCUCAUUUCCUUUUCACAGAGCAUCCUCUCUUCUGGCUGCUCCCAAAUCCUUCUCUGCCUUUCGCCACCUGCGAGGCAGAAAGGCCUUUACACUCCCGGCCGUCCUGGGUGCCGGCACUUUACUUGGCAGUGAGAUUAAAAUGAAAUUCACGGCCGGGACUCAGGCUGAGGCUUUAGAGGAAACCCACGCAAAGCCGGGAUGCGCCGGUCGGGGACAGCCAGCGCUUUGGGAACUGGUGGGACUGGCGGGCAGCGGCGCUGGUCGUGUCCCCGCGGGACGGGGAGAGGAGUCUGGCCAGGCUAAAAAUACAAUUUCUCCCUCGUUGUGCUGGAUCACGCGCGGGUACUGCUCCCUCUGCAAAAACUGUUCCCCUUAUCGCUGUCGAGACCGCAGUUUUAGAAACUAGCUGUGAUCAAGAUGUUGUGUAGCAGGACGGGGAAGUACGCAAGCGUUUCCAUCUACUUACCUGGGCAUGGGAGGGAAGAGGGGGAGGGUCAUGAAAGGCGCCGAUUGUGUGUGGAUUUUGAGGUUAAAAAGAGGUAACCUGGGGAAGGGGAGGGAGGAAAGGCUCUGAGUGGCUUAAUUUAAUCAAUAAAAUGUCUGAAAUAGUUGUCGAGAUUUGAUUCUCCCGUUUGCUAGUUUAACUUGCCCUUCAGUGCUCAUGUGUAACAUCUGUUACUGUGCGCGUACAACUGCAUUUUGGGGGUGGUGUGCGCUUUAUUUUGAGAAAAGGGAUAAUAGCCAAAGAAGAGACAAAAGAGGCAGUUUUAAGAUGCUGCGACUUUCUAGAGCCUGGCGGGUUUACAACCAGCUCAGCAGCAGUGAACCAAACUUGCUGUCAGAAGUUUACCGACGCUCAGGAAGGCUGCCGGGCCGGGGACCCGCGGGCUUUGUUCCGCGGGGAACGAAGCCACGGGAGCUGCCAUGGCGCUGUCCCCGGCCGGCAGCACGCUGGCCGCGGAGCUGGCGGAGCUCUCCCGGCGGGGCAGGUGUGUUCCCCUCCGGGCCGGCCCGGGGAGCCGCGACCGCCCUCCGCCCGCCGAGAGAGGCGGCAGCGCUUGUGCCCGGAGCCCGACGGAAGAGGCAGACGCGACUUUUCUGUGUGUUUUCAUGGCUUGCCUGCGAGGAAAGGUGCCGUCUCUUUCCCCUCUCGGCCUCCUCCGCCCAUCUUUUCUCCCCGGGAGCUCCGGAGGGAGCCGGGAGGGGCCCGGCGCUGCACGGCCCCGGACACACAGGGACGGUGCGAGGGGCCGGCGCAGCCCCCCCGGAGCGGCAGCCCGAGGGCUGCAGGGCAAAGAUCUUGUGCUCCCUCUAUCUCGGGGCUCUCUUUGACCUGAUGAGCUGCUUAGGACGAGCUCUUACAAUAGUUUUCCCGUAAGAAAAA